Molecule: small RNA, 682 nt
Filed under: Pan troglodytes (chimpanzee)
Lineage: Eukaryota; Metazoa; Chordata; Mammalia; Primates; Hominidae
Description: retained intron
Source: RNAcentral
GUGGAGUGGCCGGGAGAUGAUGGCUGAUGAAGAGGAAGAAGUCAAGCCGAUCUUGCAGAAAUUGCAGGAACUCGUGGAUCAGCUCUACUCAUUUCGAGACUGCUAUUUCGAGACACAUAGUGUUGAGGAUGCUGGGAGGAAGCAACAGGAUGUGCGGAAGGAGAUGGAGAAAACCCUACAGCAGAUGGAAGAAGUAGUGGGUUCUGUCCAGGGCAAGGCACAAGUUCUGAUGCUAACUGGGAAAGCACUAAAUGUGACUCCUGACUAUAGCCCUAAGGCUGAGGAGCUUCUGUCAAAGGCUGUGAAGCUGGAGCCCGAGCUGGUGGAAGCCUGGAACCAGCUGGGUGAGGUGUACUGGAAAAAAGGGGAUGUUGCAGCUGCCCACACCUGCUUCUCAGGAGCCCUCACCCAUGUGAGCUGCCCCCUAUCCCUUUGGAAAGCACAGAUGGGAAGGAUGAAUUUCUUUGGUUCUAUGAGUUUCCCUAGGACAUGAAUACCAGAGUAGAACUGAAAUUGAACUAGGACAGAAUCAGGAGGGAGGAAAGGUCAGAGAGCAGACCUGAAUGAGGAAAAUAGAGGCAGGGGCCUGGGAAAGGAAGAUGAUGAUGGGAUCAGGUUCAGGGGGAGAAAGGAAGUGAAGAAAAGCUAGCAGCUAAGCUGAUCCUUGUAGAUGGGGGUUGAA